This 253-nucleotide ribosomal RNA is filed under the name uncultured bacterium. RNAcentral's name for it is "partial 16S ribosomal RNA". It matches the Rfam family "Bacterial small subunit ribosomal RNA", at positions 524 to 776 of the family's 1533-position model. The record is from RNAcentral.
UACGUAGGGGGCAAGCGUUGUCCGGAUUUACUGGGCGUAAAAAGCGUGUAGGCGGCCAAACAGGUCCGUUGUGAAAACUGGAGGCUCAACCUCCAGACGUCGACGGAAACCGUGUGGCUAGAGUCCGGAAGAGGAGAGUGGAAUUCCUGGUGUAGCGGUGAAAUGCGCAGAUAUCAGGAAGAACACCAAUGGCGAAGGCAGCUCUCUGGGACGGUACUGACGCUGAGACGCGAAAGCGUGGGGAGCGAACAGG